AUGGCGUACUUAACUCGCGGAUCAUGUAAACCUUCGGAGAUCAGGAGCUUUAUGGAUUACGCGGUCGAAGUGCUUGCGUUCAGAGUAUAUCAAUUCCCUACGGACUUGGACGUUCCGGGCGGGACGAAUGUUACCUUGCACUGCAAUACUCAAAUAUCAAAAGAUACUGUUAGCUUUCUUUGGUGGAGGGAAGGCGAGAAUGCAUUUUUAGAAAGUGACAGCAGAAAACAAUUUAGUCUCGAAAAGACAAGAGGAACGCUUGUUCUGCUGGAUGUGAAAUUCGCCGAUUCCGGAAUUUACUACUGUGGAGCAAAGUAUCGGGAACAAUCAUUCUGGAAUGGAAGUGGCUCCAAGCUCACUGUGUUCGCUCCCCCAACUCCAUUGGAAAUCGUUCCUAUUGCAGAGUUUUCGUCUCCUCGGAAACUCCUUUGUAAAACAGCUGCCUUCUACCCGAAGGAAUUACAAAUCGUCUGGCAAACGAAUAACAGGCAAAUUCUCACUGGAAUAAAAACAGAUAUUAACCGGACGGCGGAGGGUUUAUAUGAGGCUUACAGUUUAUUGGAAAUUAAUCAGUCUGCUUGGGGAAAAGAUGUUUACAUCUGUCUGGUGUUGCAUGUCUCCCUCACAGUGCCUGCCUGUUUCAGCCACAUCCUGGAGCAAGAUCUACAAGGCGCUGAUCUUAGAUUAAUUCUUACAUGUGCAGUCGGCGGAUUGGCAAUUUUAGUUCUGAUAAUAACUUCGCUGAAGAGAAAGAGAUCGCACGGGCGUAACACAAAUUAUUUGGCCGGAUGUCAGAAUGAAGACCCGGUAGAUGCCGUGACUCGUCUUGUUUCAGAGCAGGGUACACGCAUAGCAUAGAUAUUAUGAAUCUAUUUUAUUCCAUAAAACUUUGGAGCGUAGCAGGAAAAUUUAAAACUAUUUUCAAGUAUAUAUCCAUGAUUUAUUUGAAUGUACCCGUUGCAUCUGCUUCCUGUGUUCUUUCAAGAUUCCACGCCAGUUCGUAAGCGGUUGCAUUGGAAGGUGAGCGGUAAUGUUUCCCAGUGGAAGGUAACAUAGUUUGGCGAAUAAUUAAACAAACAUCUGAGACUGCGAGAAACUAGUAGAUGCUAGUUUACGAGAAUCACAGUUUACUGCACAAUGGGAAAGUACAGUGCGUUCUCAAAUCAAUUCGUAAUGUCUGCUACAUUUAAUCUCAACGGAUAGUAAACAAGAUAAAAAAAAUGCAACGACGUAAUGUUUUGUUGAACUGGUCUUUGCAAUAUUACAUGCAGUUUUAACGCCGAUCCGCAACGAAAAUCCACACAGCAGUGCAUAACCUGCAAUGGAAUCGAAUAUACUUGCAACAAAACGCUGUAGUAUGUGGUGAACAAUGAUAACCACAUGUUAAAUGAAACUGCACAUGGCAUCUUCUGGUCCACGAUGCUAUGCUGAAUGAUCAUUAUCCUCAAUUUGGGAAGAAAUACCGAAAACGGAUAAAAGUAUUGCCUUUUCCCAUUUGGAAUUCAAACAGAAAACAAUCGGUAGCUACUGACGGCAUUUUUGGAAAGAGAACCAGCUGACAUUCCAGAUUGAAGACCAUUCGCCAGAAUACAACGUUAAC
Non-coding RNA from Mobula hypostoma (lesser devil ray), 1600 nucleotides. The record is from the annotation of a RefSeq genome assembly. NCBI's taxonomy places the organism in Eukaryota, Metazoa, Chordata, Chondrichthyes, Myliobatiformes, Myliobatidae.